RNAcentral lists this ribosomal RNA (707 nucleotides) under Neisseria gonorrhoeae. RNAcentral describes it as "partial 23S ribosomal RNA". It matches the Rfam family "Bacterial large subunit ribosomal RNA", at positions 2004 to 2710 of the family's 2925-position model. Lineage: Bacteria; Pseudomonadati; Pseudomonadota; Betaproteobacteria; Neisseriales; Neisseriaceae. The record is from RNAcentral.
ACGAUGGCCACACUGUCUCCUCCCGAGACUCAGCGAAGUUGAAGUGGUUGUGAAGAUGCAAUCUACCCGCUGCUAGACGGAAAGACCCCGUGAACCUUUACUGUAGCUUUGCAUUGGACUUUGAAGUCACUUGUGUAGGAUAGGUGGGAGGCUUGGAAGCAGAGACGCCAGUCUCUGUGGAGUCGUCCUUGAAAUACCACCCUGGUGUCUUUGAGGUUCUAACCCAGACCCGUCAUCCGGGUCGGGGACCGUGCAUGGUAGGCAGUUUGACUGGGGCGGUCUCCUCCCAAAGCGUAACGGAGGAGUUCGAAGGUUACCUAGGUCCGGUCGGAAAUCGGACUGAUAGUGCAAUGGCAAAAGGUAGCUUAACUGCGAGACCGACAAGUCGGGCAGGUGCGAAAGCAGGACAUAGUGAUCCGGUGGUUCUGUAUGGAAGGGCCAUCGCUCAACGGAUAAAAGGUACUCCGGGGAUAACAGGCUGAUUCCGCCCAAGAGUUCAUAUCGACGGCGGAGUUUGGCACCUCGAUGUCGGCUCAUCACAUCCUGGGGCUGUAGUCGGUCCCAAGGGUAUGGCUGUUCGCCAUUUAAAGUGGUACGUGAGCUGGGUUUAAAACGUCGUGAGACAGUUUGGUCCCUAUCUGCAGUGGGCGUUGGAAGUUUGACGGGGGCUGCUCCUAGUACGAGAGGACCGGAGUGGAACAAAAAAA